This is a long non-coding RNA of Rhipicephalus microplus (southern cattle tick), 439 nucleotides long. The record is from RefSeq and is a predicted model, not a curated record. Lineage: Eukaryota; Metazoa; Arthropoda; Arachnida; Ixodida; Ixodidae.
UAAACGCUUGUCACCGCGGAACGUCGCAUCGAGGACUCGUUAGAAACGACCAUGUUCAACGGCGAUUUGCGACACCAAGACGUGUAUUAGUUGUCCUAUUCUGAUCAGGUAACCUGUGGUUGCGUCAAGUCGGACAAUAUGCCACCAGAAGUUUGCACAAGGUGUCGUUAACUUCACUGCUUCGAGUCACCAUUGUGUCGGAGCUUUCCCGCCAAGCUGACCAGCGAACAAGUUUUGUGUAUUUCGCUAGGUAUCAGACAUUCUUGCAAAUUCAUACAGAGUGCUGCAGCAAUCGCAUUGUAUAUUCUACAAAAACUGGCUUAAAGGCGGAUGGAAGACAGUACAGAUGGACUCACAGAAGCCAUCGGACUGCCUCAGAAACUGUGACUGAACAUUAACCCGUCGCGAGAUUGAGUCCCGGCUGCAGCGGCUGCAUUUC